Molecule: ribosomal RNA, 544 nt
Filed under: uncultured bacterium
Lineage: Bacteria
Description: bacterial SSU rRNA
Rfam family: Bacterial small subunit ribosomal RNA
Source: RNAcentral
AGGUAAUAGAUACCCGGGUAGUCCUAGCUGUAAACGGUGCACGUUUGGUGUGGGAGGCAACCCCUUCCGUGCCGAAAGCUAAACGCGAUAAAAACGUGCCGCCUGGGUAGUACGGUCGCAAGACUAAAACUCAAAGAAAUUGACGGGGACCCGCACAAGCGGUGGAGUAUGUGGCUUAAUUCAAUGCAACGCGAAGAACCUUACCAGGGCUUGACAUGUAUUGUAACCCCGGUGAAAGCCGGGCAGCAUGGAAACAUGCGCUUUACACAGGUGCUGCAUGGCUGUCGUCAGCUCGUGUCGUGAGAUGUUGGGUUAAGUCCCGCAACGAGCGCAACCCUUAUGAUUUGUUGCCACCGGUUCAUUCCGAGCACUCAAAUCAGACUGCCCAGAUUAACUGGGAGGAAGGUGGGGAUGACGUCAAGUCCGUAUGGCCCUUACGUCCUGGGCUGCACACGUACUACAAUGUCCAGUACAAAUUGAACCGAUACCGCAAGGUGGAGGAAAUCAAACAAAACUGGGCUCAGUUCAGAUUGCAGGCUGCAAC